RNAcentral lists this ribosomal RNA (800 nucleotides) under Bacillus aerius. RNAcentral describes it as "bacterial SSU rRNA". It matches the Rfam family "Bacterial small subunit ribosomal RNA", at positions 105 to 890 of the family's 1533-position model. The record is from RNAcentral. Lineage: Bacteria; Bacillati; Bacillota; Bacilli; Caryophanales; Bacillaceae.
GGUGAGUAACACGUGGGUAACCUGCCUGUAAGACUGGGAUAACUCCGGGAAACCGGAGCUAAUACCGGAUAGUUCCUUGAACCGCAUGGUUCAAGGAUGAAAGACGGUUUCGGCUGUCACUUACAGAUGGACCCGCGGCGCAUUAGCUAGUUGGUGAGGUAACGGCUCACCAAGGCGACGAUGCGUAGCCGACCUGAGAGGGUGAUCGGCCACACUGGGACUGAGACACGGCCCAGACUCCUACGGGAGGCAGCAGUAGGGAAUCUUCCGCAAUGGACGAAAGUCUGACGGAGCAACGCCGCGUGAGUGAUGAAGGUUUUCGGAUCGUAAAGCUCUGUUGUUAGGGAAGAACAAGUGCAAGAGUAACUGCUUGCACCUUGACGGUACCUAACCAGAAAGCCACGGCUAACUACGUGCCAGCAGCCGCGGUAAUACGUAGGUGGCAAGCGUUGUCCGGAAUUAUUGGGCGUAAAGGGCUCGCAGGCGGUUUCUUAAGUCUGAUGUGAAAGCCCCCGGCUCAACCGGGGAGGGUCAUUGGAAACUGGGAAACUUGAGUGCAGAAGAGGAGAGUGGAAUUCCACGUGUAGCGGUGAAAUGCGUAGAGAUGUGGAGGAACACCAGUGGCGAAGGCGACUCUCUGGUCUGUAACUGACGCUGAGGAGCGAAAGCGUGGGGAGCGAACAGGAUUAGAUACCCUGGUAGUCCACGCCGUAAACGAUGAGUGCUAAGUGUUAGGGGGUUUCCGCCCCUUAGUGCUGCAGCUAACGCAUUAAGCACUCCGCCUGGGGAGUACGGUCGCA